AUACCGGACUCUAUGAGGCUCGGUAAUUGAAAUGAGUACAGUUUAAAACCCUUAACGAGGAUCUAUUGGAGGGCUAGUCUGGUGCCAGCAGCCGCGGUAAUUCCAGCUCCAAUAGCGUAUAUUAAAGUUGUUGCAGUUAAAAAGCUCGUAGUUGGAUCUCGGGUACUAGCAUGUGGUACGCUUUAUUGCUGUUACUGCUUGUCUGGUCCUAAUCGACCGGUUGGCCGUUGAUGCCCUUUAUUGGGUGUUUUCGGUAGCCGGUACGUUUACUUUGAGAAAAUUAGAGUGCUUAAAGCAGGCCUUACGCCUGAAUACUGUUGCAUGGAAUAAUAGAAUAGGACCUCGGUUCUAUUUUGUUGGUUUUGUAGAGCAUUGAGGUAAUGAUUAAUAGGGACAGACGGGGGCAUUCGUAUUGCGGUGUUAGAGGUGAAAUUCUUGGAUCGCCGCAAGACGAACAACUGCGAAAGCAUUUGCCAAGAAUGUUUUCAUUAAUCAAGAACGAAAGUUGGAGGUUCGAAGACGAUUAGAUACCGUCCUAGUUCCAACCAUAAACGAUGCCAACUAGCGAUUAGCUGCUGUUAAUUAAACGACACAGCUAGCAGCUUCCGGGAAACCAAAGUUUUUGGGUUCCGGGGGAAGUAUGGUUGCAAAGCUGAAACUUAAAGGAAUUGACGGAAGGGCACCACCAGGAGUGGAGCCUGCGGCUUAAUUUGACCCAACACGGGAAAUCUCACCCGGCCCGGACACUGUAAGGAUUGACAGAUUGAGAGCUCCUUCUUGAUUCGGUGGGUGGUGGUGCAUGGCCGUUCUUAGUUGGCGGAGCGAUUUGUCUGGUUAAUUCCGAUAACGAACGAGACUCUAGCCUGCUAAAUAGUACGCCGAUCUUUUGUCGGCGCGUACUUCUUAGAGGGACAAGUAGCGGUUAGCUACACGAAAUUGAGCAAUAACAGGUCUGUGAUGCCCUUAGAUGUUCGGGGCCGCACGCGCGCUACACUGAAGGGAUAAGCGUGUUCUUCCUGCUCCGAUAGAAGUGGGUAACCCGCUGAAACCCCUUCGUGAUUGGGAUCGGGGCUUGAAAUUAUUCUCCGUGAACGAGGAAUUCCCAGUAAGCGCGAGUCAUAAGCUCGCGUUGAUUACGUCCCUGCCCUUUGUACACACCGCCCGUCGCUACUACCGAUUGAAUGGUUUAGUGAGAUCUUCGGAUUGGUCCGGAAGUGGCCGCAAGGUUGCCUCU
Molecule: ribosomal RNA, 1234 nt
Filed under: metagenome
Description: SSU rRNA
Rfam family: Eukaryotic small subunit ribosomal RNA
Source: RNAcentral